UUAAUUUGAGAGUUUGAUCCUGGCUCAGGACGAACGCUGGCGGCGUGCCUAAUACAUGCAAGUCGAACGAACUCUGGUAUUGAUUGGUGCUUGCAUCAUGAUUUACAUUUGAGUGAGUGGCGAACUGGUGAGUAACACGUGGGAAACCUGCCCAGAAGAGGGGGAUAACACCUGGAAACAGAUGCUAAUACCGCAUAACAACUUGGACCGCAUGGUCCGAGUUUGAAAGAUGGCUUCGGCUAUCACUUUUGGAUGGUCCCGCGGCGUAUUAGCUAGAUGGUGAGGUAACGGCUCACCAUGGCAAUGAUACGUAGCCGACCUGAGAGGGUAAUCGGCCACAUUGGGACUGAGACACGGCCCAAACUCCUACGGGAGGCAGCAGUAGGGAAUCUUCCACAAUGGACGAAAGUCUGAUGGAGCAACGCCGCGUGAGUGAAGAAGGGUUUCGGCUCGUAAAACUCUGUUGUUAAAGAAGAACAUAUCUGAGAGUAACUGUUCAGGUAUUGACGGUAUUUAACCAGAAAGCCACGGCUAACUACGUGCCAGCAGCCGCGGUAAUACGUAGGUGGCAAGCGUUGUCCGGAUUUAUUGGGCGUAAAGCGAGCGCAGGCGGUUUUUUAAGUCUGAUGUGAAAGCCUUCGGCUCAACCGAAGAAGUGCAUCGGAAACUGGGAAACUUGAGUGCAGAAGAGGACAGUGGAACUCCAUGUGUAGCGGUGAAAUGCGUAGAUAUAUGGAAGAACACCAGUGGCGAAGGCGGCUGUCUGGUCUGUAACUGACGCUGAGGCUCGAAAGUAUGGGUAGCAAACAGGAUUAGAUACCCUGGUAGUCCAUACCGUAAACGAUGAAUGCUAAGUGUUGGAGGGUUUCCGCCCUUCAGUGCUGCAGCUAACGCAUUAAGCAUUCCGCCUGGGGAGUACGGCCGCAAGGCUGAAACUCAAAGGAAUUGACGGGGGCCCGCACAAGCGGUGGAGCAUGUGGUUUAAUUCGAAGCUACGCGAAGAACCUUACCAGGUCUUGACAUACUAUGCAAAUCUAAGAGAUUAGACGUUCCCUUCGGGGACAUGGAUACAGGUGGUGCAUGGUUGUCGUCAGCUCGUGUCGUGAGAUGUUGGGUUAAGUCCCGCAACGAGCGCAACCCUUAUUAUCAGUUGCCAGCAUUAAGUUGGGCACUCUGGUGAGACUGCCGGUGACAAACCGGAGGAAGGUGGGGAUGACGUCAAAUCAUCAUGCCCCUUAUGACCUGGGCUACACACGUGCUACAAUGGAUGGUACAACGAGUUGCGAACUCGCGAGAGUAAGCUAAUCUCUUAAAGCCAUUCUCAGUUCGGAUUGUAGGCUGCAACUCGCCUACAUGAAGUCGGAAUCGCUAGUAAUCGCGGAUCAGCAUGCCGCGGUGAAUACGUUCCCGGGCCUUGUACACACCGCCCGUCACACCAUGAGAGUUUGUAACACCCAAAGUCGGUGGGGUAACCUUUUAGGAACCAGCCGCCUAAGGUGGGACAGAUGAUUAGGGUGAAGUCGUAACAAGGUAGCCGUAGGAGAACCUGCGGCUGGAUCACCUCCUUUCUAAGGAA
This 1576-nucleotide ribosomal RNA is filed under the name Lactiplantibacillus plantarum. RNAcentral's name for it is "16S ribosomal RNA". It matches the Rfam family "Bacterial small subunit ribosomal RNA". The record is from RNAcentral. Lineage: Bacteria; Bacillati; Bacillota; Bacilli; Lactobacillales; Lactobacillaceae. RNAcentral also lists the same sequence under 1 other name.